UACGGAGGGUGCAAGCGUUGAUCGGAAUUACUGGGCGUAAAGCGCGCGUAGGCGGAUUGAUAAGCAGGAUGUGAAAGCCCCGGGCUUAACAUGGGAAUGGCAUUCUGAACGGUCUGACUGGAGUAUGGUAGAGGGUAGUGGAAUGUCCGGUGUAGCGGUGAAAUGCGUAGAUAUCGGAAGGAACACCAGUGGCGAAGGCGACUACCUGGACCAAUACUGACGCUGAGGUGCGAAAGCGUGGGGAGCAAACAGG
This 253-nucleotide unclassified non-coding RNA is filed under the name uncultured Alteromonadales bacterium. Its description in RNAcentral is "contains 16S-23S intergenic spacer region". It matches the Rfam family "Bacterial small subunit ribosomal RNA", at positions 524 to 776 of the family's 1533-position model. Lineage: Bacteria; Pseudomonadati; Pseudomonadota; Gammaproteobacteria; Alteromonadales. The record is from RNAcentral.